Molecule: ribosomal RNA, 253 nt
Filed under: uncultured bacterium
Lineage: Bacteria
Description: partial 16S ribosomal RNA
Rfam family: Bacterial small subunit ribosomal RNA
Source: RNAcentral
UACAUAGGAUGCGAGCGUUGUCCGGAACUAUUGGGCGUAAAGCGUACGUAGGCGGUUUGUUAAGUCAGGGGUUAAAGACCGAGGCUCAACCUCGGGAGUGCCUUUGAUACUGGCAGACUGGAGGACGGCAGAGGAAAGUGGAAUUCCCAGUGUAGCGGUGAAAUGCGUAGAUAUUGGGAGGAACACCAGUGGCGAAAGCGACUUUCUGGGCCGUUCCUGACGCUGAGGUACGAAAGCGUGGGGAGCAAACAGG